Molecule: ribosomal RNA, 301 nt
Filed under: uncultured bacterium
Lineage: Bacteria
Description: partial 16S ribosomal RNA
Rfam family: Bacterial small subunit ribosomal RNA
Source: RNAcentral
CAGUCGCCACGGGAAUACGUAGGUGGCAAGCGUUGUCCGGAAUUAUUGGGCGUAAAGGGCUCGCAGGCGGUUUCUUAAGUCUGAUGUGAAAGCCCCCGGCUCAACCGGGGAGGGUCAUUGGAAACUGGGAAACUUGAGUGCAGAAGAGGAGAGUGGAAUUCCACGUGUAGCGGUGAAAUGCGUAGAGAUGUGGAGGAACACCAGUGGCGAAGGCGACUCUCUGGUCUGUAACUGACGCUGAGGAGCGAAAGCGUGGGGAGCGAACAGGAUUAGAUACCCCAGUAGUCCCUGUCUCUUAUAU